Molecule: ribosomal RNA, 253 nt
Filed under: uncultured bacterium
Lineage: Bacteria
Description: partial 16S ribosomal RNA
Rfam family: Bacterial small subunit ribosomal RNA
Source: RNAcentral
UACGUAGGGUGCAAGCGUUGUCCGGAAUUAUUGGGCGUAAAGAGCUUGUAGGCGGUUUGUCGCGUCUGCUGUGAAAUUUCGGGGCUCAACCCCGAACUUGCAGUGGGUACGGGCAGACUAGAGUGUGGUAGGGGAGACUGGAAUUCCUGGUGUAGCGGUGAAAUGCGUAGAGAUCAGCAGGAACACCCGUGGCGAAGGCGGCCCCCUGGGCCGUACCUGACGCUGAGGCGCGAAGGCUAGGGGAGCGAACGGG